RNAcentral lists this ribosomal RNA (403 nucleotides) under uncultured bacterium. RNAcentral's name for it is "bacterial SSU rRNA". It matches the Rfam family "Bacterial small subunit ribosomal RNA", at positions 30 to 416 of the family's 1533-position model. The record is from RNAcentral.
AGCGAACGCUGGCGGCGUGCUUAACACAUGCAAGUCGCGCGCGAAAGGGAGCUUCGGCUGCUGAGUAGAGCGGCGAACGGGUGCGUAAGACGCGGGUGACCUAUCCACGAGGCGGGGAUAACCCUUCGAAAGAGGGGCUAAUACCGGAUGAGCCCACAGGCAGAGAUGCGUAGGGGGCAAAGGGUGCUGUGUACUCGCAGCAUGUCUUUGUGGAGGGGCCCACGGCCUAUCAGCUAGUUGGCGGGUAACGGCCCACCAAGGCUAUGACGGGUAGCUGGUCUGAGAGGACGACCAGCCACACGGGGACUGAGACACGGCCCCGACUCCUACGGGAGGCAGCAGUGGGAAUUUUCCGCAAUGGGCGAAAGCCUGACGGAGUGACGCCGCGUGUGGGACGAAGGCC